UACUGAGGGAGCAAGCGUUCAUCGGAAUUACUGGGCGUAAGGCGCACGCAGGCGGUCUGUCAAGUCGGAUGAGGAAUCCCCGGGCUCAACCUGGGAACUGCAUCCGAAACUGGCAGGCUAGAGCCUUGUAGAGGGGGGUAGAAUUCCAGGUGUAGCGGUGAAAUGCGUAGAGAUCUGGAGGAAUACCGGUGGCGAAGGCGGCCCCCUGGACAAAGACUGACGCUCAGGUGCGAAGGCGUGGGGAGCAAACAGG
This 253-nucleotide unclassified non-coding RNA is filed under the name uncultured Enterobacteriaceae bacterium. RNAcentral's name for it is "contains 16S-23S intergenic spacer region". It matches the Rfam family "Bacterial small subunit ribosomal RNA", at positions 524 to 776 of the family's 1533-position model. The record is from RNAcentral. Lineage: Bacteria; Pseudomonadati; Pseudomonadota; Gammaproteobacteria; Enterobacterales; Enterobacteriaceae.